Molecule: ribosomal RNA, 301 nt
Filed under: uncultured bacterium
Lineage: Bacteria
Description: partial 16S ribosomal RNA
Rfam family: Bacterial small subunit ribosomal RNA
Source: RNAcentral
CAGUCGCCGCGGGAAUACGAAGGGUGCAAGCGUUAACCGGAAUUACUGGGCGUAAAGCGUGCGUAGGCGGUGAGUUAAGUCUGCUGUGAAAUCCCCGGGCUCAACCUGGGAAUGGCAGUGGAUACUGGCUCGCUAGAGUGUGUCAGAGGAUGGUGGAAUUCCCGGUGUAGCGGUGAAAUGCGUAGAGAUCGGGAGGAACAUCAGUGGCGAAGGCGGCCAUCUGGGACAACACUGACGCUGAGGCACGAAAGCGUGGGGAGCAAACAGGAUUAGAUACCCCCGUAGUCCCUGUCUCUUAUAC